RNAcentral lists this long non-coding RNA (454 nucleotides) under Zostera marina. RNAcentral describes it as "long non-coding RNA (ZMAR_LNC005492)". The record is from RNAcentral. Lineage: Eukaryota; Viridiplantae; Streptophyta; Magnoliopsida; Alismatales; Zosteraceae.
AAAGAGCUUUCACUCCACAUUUGAGAUUCACGUUUUUGCCUCCAAGCUUCCAAGCUUCUAAGUGCUCAAGUGUCAUAGCUUUCCAAAAACUUCAAAAGCUUUUCAACUUCUUCUUCUAAUCUUCUUGUUCAUCUCUACAAGUAAAAAGUGUUGUUUGUUUUAAUAUUCCACUCCUCUAAUCACCUCUUAUGUGUGUCCACUUUGGUUGAGAGGGUUGUCUCAAUAUCACCAAAGUGUGAAAGAAGGUUUUUGAACUCAACCAUAAAACUCUAGUUUGGUUUUAUAGAGUUUCGGGGAAAACUCUUAGGUCGAAUCUACUUUGAAAGAUUUCUAGAUUUUUAAAAGUUCAUUGAUACUCUAAGGUCCUAACUUACCCUUAAAAGUUAGAGGUUUUUAAGAGUUCCUUUGAUACUCUAAGGUGUGAGUAUGCCCGUAAAAGACUGGUUCCUAAGCG